RNAcentral lists this ribosomal RNA (871 nucleotides) under Nostocaceae cyanobacterium UIC 10772. RNAcentral's name for it is "bacterial SSU rRNA". It matches the Rfam family "Bacterial small subunit ribosomal RNA", at positions 416 to 1302 of the family's 1533-position model. Lineage: Bacteria; Bacillati; Cyanobacteriota; Cyanophyceae; Nostocales; Nostocaceae. The record is from RNAcentral.
UCUUGGGUCGUAAACCUCUUUUCUCAGGGAAGAACACAAUGACGGUACCUGAGGAAUAAGCAUCGGCUAACUCCGUGCCAGCAGCCGCGGUAAUACGGAGGAUGCAAGCGUUAUCCGGAAUGAUUGGGCGUAAAGCGUCCGCAGGUGGCAAUGUAAGUCUGCUGUUAAAGAGUCUAGCUCAACUAGAUAAAAGCAGUGGAAACUACAUAGCUAGAGUACGUUCGGGGCAGAGGGAAUUCCUGGUGUAGCGGUGAAAUGCGUAGAGAUCAGGAAGAACACCGGUGGCGAAGGCGCUCUGCUAGGCCGUAACUGACACUGAGGGACGAAAGCUAGGGGAGCGAAUGGGAUUAGAUACCCCAGUAGUCCUAGCCGUAAACGAUGGAUACUAGGCGUGGCUUGUAUCGACCCGAGCCGUGCCGUAGCUAACGCGUUAAGUAUCCCGCCUGGGGAGUACGCCGGCAACGGUGAAACUCAAAGGAAUUGACGGGGGCCCGCACAAGCGGUGGAGUAUGUGGUUUAAUUCGAUGCAACGCGAAGAACCUUACCAAGGCUUGACAUGUCGCGAAUCUUCUUGAAAGGGAAGAGUGCCUUCGGGAGCGCGAACACAGGUGGUGCAUGGCUGUCGUCAGCUCGUGUCGUGAGAUGUUGGGUUAAGUCCCGCAACGAGCGCAACCCUCGUUUUUAGUUGCCAGCAUUAAGUUGGGCACUCUAGAGAGACUGCCGGUGACAAACCGGAGGAAGGUGGGGAUGACGUCAAGUCAGCAUGCCCCUUACGCCUUGGGCUACACACGUACUACAAUGCUCCGGACAGAGGGCAGCAAGCAUGCGAAUGCAAGCAAAUCCCGUAAACCGGAGCUCAGUUCAGAUCGCA